This 75-nucleotide transfer RNA is filed under the name Myxococcales bacterium. Its description in RNAcentral is "tRNA-Leu". It matches the Rfam family "tRNA". Rfam says of the family: Transfer RNA (tRNA) molecules are approximately 80 nucleotides in length. Lineage: Bacteria; Pseudomonadati; Myxococcota; Myxococcia; Myxococcales. The record is from RNAcentral.
GGCUCCGUGGCCCAACAGGAAGAGGCGGCAGGUCGAGAACCUGUCAACGUGUGGGUUCGAACCCCACCGGAGCUA